RNAcentral lists this ribosomal RNA (629 nucleotides) under uncultured bacterium. RNAcentral describes it as "bacterial SSU rRNA". The stretch from base 1 to 542 matches the Rfam family "Bacterial small subunit ribosomal RNA", at positions 338 to 873 of the family's 1533-position model. The record is from RNAcentral.
CCUACGGGAGGCAGCAGUGGGGAAUUUUGGACAAUGGGCGAAAGCCUGAUCCAGCAAUGCCGCGUGAGUGAAGAAGGCCUUCGGGUUGUAAAGCUCUUUUGUCAGGGAAGAAACGGUGAGAGCUAAUAUCUUUUGCUAAUGACGGUACCUGAAGAAUAAGCACCGGCUAACUACGUGCCAGCAGCCGCGGUAAUACGUAGGGUGCAAGCGUUAAUCGGAAUUACUGGGCGUAAAGCGUGCGCAGGCGGUUUUGUAAGUCUGAUGUGAAAUCCCCGGGCUCAACCUGGGAAUUGCAUUGGAGACUGCAAGGCUAGAAUCUGGCAGAGGGGGGUAGAAUUCCACGUGUAGCAGUGAAAUGCGUAGAUAUGUGGAGGAACACCGAUGGCGAAGGCAGCCCCCUGGGUCAAGAUUGACGCUCAUGCACGAAAGCGUGGGGAGCAAACAGGAUUAGAUACCCUGGUAGUCCACGCCCUAAACGAUGUCUACUAGUUGUCGGGUCCUAAUUGACUUGGUAACGCAGCUAACGCGUGAAGUAGACCGCCGCGGGAGGUACGGUCGCGAGAAGUUAAAACGUUAAAAGUAAGUAGUAGACGNGAGAGAGACGACGACGACGACGACGGAGGGAGGAG